RNAcentral lists this small nucleolar RNA (106 nucleotides) under Eutrema salsugineum. Its description in RNAcentral is "Plant small nucleolar RNA R71". It matches the Rfam family "Plant small nucleolar RNA R71". Rfam says of the family: R71 is a member of the C/D box family of snoRNAs containing the C (UGAUGA) and D (CUGA) box motifs. The record is from Rfam by way of RNAcentral. Lineage: Eukaryota; Viridiplantae; Streptophyta; Magnoliopsida; Brassicales; Brassicaceae.
AAUCCAUGGUGAGGGCAGUCACCUUCAUACUCUUUAAAACGCUCCAGACUUCAUAGAAAGGUUCAGGUGGUCCUUGCUGAAAACUUGAGAUCUUGGUUCUCAGUAA